GGUCAGAGUGGAUGGCCCAGGAAACUAAGACCAUAGCAUGUAAGAUCUUGCUCAUCCACAGAUAUCACUAUAUACAGCAAUUCUGAUUCUUCAAACAUCAUCUCCACAGAGCUGUUUAUCCUGUGGCAUGCUUAGUUGUUUCUGCACUGCUUUGCAAUGAAGAUUCAUUACUGUAUCUUAAUGUUUCUCUUUCUGGGCCUGUUGUCGAACUCAGGAAGUGAAGAUAUUCACGAAGUCAACAGUACCCUGGACUGCAAAAGUCGAAUGUUGUGUAGUUCCGAGAAUACAAAUGGAAACUGCUCUGAUGUUCAGAAAGUGGGGCUGUGCAUCUUACGUCUUAGUCGAACGCCUCAGCCACAGACCUAAAGAAAUUGGAAACCAGGAAUGCAAGAGGAUCACCUCCUUUGAUGAAUUAAAUUAGAAAACAUA
RNAcentral lists this long non-coding RNA (429 nucleotides) under Mus pahari (shrew mouse). RNAcentral describes it as "lncRNA (MGP_PahariEiJ_G0004969.1)". The record is from RNAcentral. Lineage: Eukaryota; Metazoa; Chordata; Mammalia; Rodentia; Muridae.